Molecule: long non-coding RNA, 1767 nt
Filed under: Canis lupus familiaris (dog)
Lineage: Eukaryota; Metazoa; Chordata; Mammalia; Carnivora; Canidae
Description: lncRNA (ENSCAFG00845028099.1)
Source: RNAcentral
CCCAAGCCCCUCCCGUCCCCUCAGGUUCACUUUUCCGCCUGGACGGAGCCUGGGAGAGCACAGGUGCCUCCCCGCGGCCCCACUGGGGCCAGGACAGGCCUCGGCGGACCCUGGAGGGACUCUGCGCCCCUGGCUUCCCGGGCCCCUUGUGCCCCGCGGGGCUCCCUCUCGCUGCCCUCCUGGUCUCGGCCCUCACGUCUGCCAGGCCAGGGCCUGGACUCAGAGGCCUGGAGCCUGCCCGCAGCCUCCGCCGGGCCAGCUGGGUCCGCGUCCUCGCCUCUCGGGCCUCCGCCUGCGCCGCCUCCUGAGUGGCCCCGGGAGAGCCUGAGAGCAGGGCAGACAGCGGGAGGGGCAGCCCAGGGACAGGACUCACCGGGGACUGCCCCCCGGGCUGCGGGCAAGGGUGAGCGCCGCCGUGGUGCCUUUGCUGCCCCCCCCCCCGGAGCCACCUGGAGAACCUACCCCACCAACGACUGUGCAGGGAUCGGGCCAGCACCUGGGGCUCUGCGCCAGGGCCGCUCCUCACUGGGAUUCGCUGCCAAGAGACACGCGGAGCACCGCGGCCUCCCAGACCUUGGCCAUCCGCGCACACCUCAGGCCUCCAUCCAGGGGCUCAGUGAGGCCAAGGCCAGAGCUUGCUCAGCAGCUACCCAGGGAGCCACGUUUCAUUCCCUCUGGACUUCCCACGCCCGAGGCCUGUGGACGUGGCUAGUGGGGCCACUUCCCGAGGAGGACUCUCUAGAUCCAGUUCUUCCCAAGGCCUCAUGGUCGGCAAAGAAUUCCUCACCUCUGGAUUUCAAGCUAAGCCAUAGGACUCACUUUGGCCACUGGGAUGUUGGUGAGUGAGACACAAGCUAACUGUAAAAUUGUCCUUGCCUGGUUGGGCUUCUUCUCUUGUGCACCUGCCUUUGGCCCCAUGAAGAGAAUGUCCAGCCCAGGUGGCUCAGCGGUUUAGCGCUGCCUUCAGCUGAGGGCAUGAUUCUGGAGAAUCCCAUGUCAGGCUUCCUGCAAGGAGCCUGCUUCUCCCUCUGCCUGUGUCUCUGCCUCUCUCUCUCUCUCUCUCUCUCUCAUGAAUAAAUAAAAUCUAACAAAAAAAAAAAAAAAAGAAAAAAAAAAGAAAAAAGAAAAAAGAAAAAAAGAGAAAAAGAGAGAGAGAAUGCCCAGGAUAGACACUGGCCCUCGGGGAGUGAGAUAUGCAUGGAGCAGGCCUGGAGCCAAAACACAGGCCAGCUGAAUCCAGCCCCCCAACCAACCCCUAGAUAUGUGUAUGAGAAAUAACCACCAAUUGUUGCAUGAAUUUUGGAACUGUUAUACACUAUUGGAUAGUCAUUGACUCAAGAAGACACAUGGUGUAAAAAUAUUUUUUCAAGACCAUGUGAAGCAGGGGCACCUGGGUGGCUCAGUGGGAGCAUUGCCUUUGUCAGGUUCAGAGCCCAGGGUCCUAGGAUCAAAUCUUGCAUUGGGCUCCUGGUGGGGAACUGUUUCUCCCUCUGCCUAGGCCUCUGCCUCUCUCUGUGUGUCUCUCAUGAAUAAAAUCUUAAAAAAAAAAAAGAACAUGUUAAGCUACUUAAAUUUUUUGAGCAUUUGAGCACUUGUAAGAAAUACUACAAAGAAAAAGACAGAGUGAUCAAUAAAAUAUCAGCUAGUGGAAUGAUCUUAGGGUAGAGGAGGAGAUAGGAUUGUGGGGAGUACUAAGGAGAUGUAAGGAGAUGAAGGGGUAGCAAAAAUGAAGGAUAGUGUUGUUGUGCAUUUUCUUACGCUAACCUG